Transfer RNA from Laccaria bicolor S238N-H82, 85 nucleotides. It matches the Rfam family "tRNA". Rfam says of the family: Transfer RNA (tRNA) molecules are approximately 80 nucleotides in length. Their secondary structure includes four short double-helical elements and three loops (D, anti-codon, and T loops). NCBI's taxonomy places the organism in Eukaryota, Fungi, Basidiomycota, Agaricomycetes, Agaricales, Hydnangiaceae. The record is from Rfam.
UCGAGUAUGGUGUAACGGCUAACAUUACCGCCUUUCACGCGUAUGAUGAACGCGGUAGCUCGGGGUUCGAUUCCCCGUACUCGAA